GUUGCAAUCAGUUAAGCUCCUGUGCCCAUGAAUAUACGUGUAAAUUGGUCGUUCGCGCCACAACCUUGGAUCUUUUCCAAAACUUCUAGACAACAUUGUAGUCGUCAGGUUCAGGGCCCGAAAUGGUCCUGUGGAUUUGCUGAAUUGUACCAGCAGGGUUUGGGGCCCUAGGCUCGGGGCAGAUUGGCUACAUCGACUGCUGAUAGCACGCUGGCUGCAUCGCCCUGUACUGCCGUGCUCUUGACGUAUUCCAGGAGGCGCUCCUCGGUCGUGUUACCAUGCCUCACGCGACGCAGGUAUCCCGGGACGAUUACCUUCAUAAUGUACCUUGUUGCAUAACUCCAGGGGAUCAGUAUUAGCUCAGCACUGACAGAAAACUCUGCAUCUUCAACUCCGACUGAGUAAGCACUUUUCUGGAUUGGUCACAGUCAUCAUCAUCUGAUCUUUGGUUAUAAAGUACACUUAAUAUAAAUAUUAAUUUAUAUUAUUGGUACUUGGUUAAUAAAGUGUUGGAAUGUUUGCAUGGCAUUUCGAAGAAUUACAUCUCAAGUAAAUAAAAGACCAAACUGUAUUGUAAUAGCUGUUUUGUAGAUAUCAAGUUUCAUGUGCCCUUUUCUUGGAAACUAUCGCAUUACUUAACCCUGCACGCAGUGAAGUCAUCGAGAAGAGUAGACUUUACGUAUAGCAGCGAUCAUCGAGGUAUGCUUCUAUGUUUCAAAUUCUGGCCUUACAAGGUAAGCACAAAAGGUUUGCCCAGGCCUGUUCAACACUGGCUAAGACCAUAAAGCAAGGACCCGGACAACCGCUAUACGCAUGAGGUCUACUGACCGAUGACCAGCUGUCUGCCAGUUAACCACGCCCCCGUGACGACCCUACGGAAUUUUGUAGUUAGGCCUUGUUGACGGAUUCUGGCGUAAUUGGUCCACUGGACACCGAUCAGGAAUAGAACAUACAAUACACAAUCCCGAAGACACGUAUCGCCAAAUUUUCGGGGGCAGGGAAAACUGGUAACGUAAUGGUGUAAUGCAGGUACCUAUGCCAAGCUAUUCUUCCGUUUGCCUGGUUUUCUAAUAAAAUUAUGCCAGUUUCGCAGUCAUAGGAAGAAUAUAUCGUAGACUUCCACAAGAAAUACUCCUUCGUGUAAUCACAGAGCAUGGAAACAGAUGAUUAGCAAAAUGCAACAUCUUUAUGCUGAUUUCUUUCUUUGAUCAGUUCUUUGACCAGGGCUGAACUUUAGGCACCCUGAUAUAAAUUAAGGAGACGUAAGCACAUAGUUGUACUGCCAUGGUAAAAUCCCCCCAAGACAAAAAAAGAUCAGAAAAACAAGAAAGUUUAAUGCUACAGAAAAACCAAAUCACGCAAAUACUAAUGCAAAACAGUAAAUAAUAACAAUGGCAUUUAUCAAAUAAAAUAAAAAACAGUAAAAUAAAGAAAACGGUGUCUUACUAAAUGAGAAACAUUAUUCAAUCUGUUAAUUCCAUAAUCACACAAGGUAACAAUUUAUUGGAACGAAGUCACAUGAUGCUUAGUGAAGCUGAAGUGUUAACUGAAACUGACGAUUACCUGUUAAUGUUGCCUGCCCAAAUCCUCGCCCGUAAAAACUUUGAACCCUAUCGACUCUUGAAGUGUUUAAUUAAUAUUCUCUUUCUUGUUUUUUAUGGGUGUUCUCGUUUGACUUCUUUAUUGCAUCUGAGAAAAUUCAGGAUCUCACUGAUACGGGGUUUCAACUCGUCACAGGACAAAAAAGAAGUAGGCUUACACGAACAAAUUCAAUUCAGGACUUUGAUGAGCAUUGCGUCUCACACACCGCAAACUGUAUAAAAUUGUGAACAUGUAUGGAAUGGUUCAAGGUGUUGACACAUCAAAGGAUUUGGAACCGGGUAAUGACCAGUUGAAAUGUCUUAUACACAUCCAUCACUUGACUGGAAGCAUGACUGAAAUUUAACGGAAUAAGUUAAACGCCAGUGCAAUUGCAAUGGGAGGAAGAUAUUUGGAGGUAAACAAAAUAUAAGUAAAAUAGAAAUAUUAGACAACAAAAACAAAGACACUAUAAGGAAUCCUGAGAUACCCAUUCUGUUUUCGUUCUCUCCCCACGUAUGUUCGGUCCCAUAGACUGUGUGUGCAUUCAGUUUUGUAUUCACGCAUGCGCAAUAGUGAGAUCUGGUCGGCCUGAAUAAUUAUUCAGUGGUGAGAGAUUUGUACUAUCAUUGUACUAUCAUCAAAAUACAUCUGAAAUGUUGACUUCACUUCCAACUUCUGACUCGAUUACUUUGGAGGUACGUGACAAAGACGGGCAAAAUGUUUCAAAAACAAAUUAAUUUUUAUAGUGUGCAAGCAGCAAAAGGGGCUUUGAGUGUUUAAAUUGUAAUCGGUAUGGAAAUGAGGGACGUGAACUUUAUCUGAGCUUGAUAUUGAUCUGUUACUUUUCGAGUCCAGGUGCCCAAGUCAGGAGCCGUUUCACUGCCUAUAGUGGGAUUCAGAACGCACGCGCACCAACUUAGUACAAGAGACGGUACAAGGUCAGGAUUGAGGAAGCCCCACUAGUGUGACACGGGAGUGAGAGUCCGUGCCACGCCAUGGAUCGGGAGUGAGAGUCCGUACCACACCAUGGAUCGGGAGUGAGAGUCUGUGCCACACUAUGGAUCGGGAGUGAGAGUCCGUACCACACUAGUGGGGCCAGGAUUGAGGGUGACUGUAGAUUA
RNAcentral lists this long non-coding RNA (2702 nucleotides) under Acanthaster planci (crown-of-thorns starfish). RNAcentral describes it as "uncharacterized LOC110978506". Lineage: Eukaryota; Metazoa; Echinodermata; Asteroidea; Valvatida; Acanthasteridae. The record is from RNAcentral.